RNAcentral lists this ribosomal RNA (491 nucleotides) under uncultured bacterium. RNAcentral describes it as "bacterial SSU rRNA". It matches the Rfam family "Bacterial small subunit ribosomal RNA", at positions 903 to 1397 of the family's 1533-position model. The record is from RNAcentral.
AAAGGAAUAGACGGGGGCCCGCACAAGCAGUGGAGUAUGUGGUUUAAUUCGACGCUACGCGAAGAACCUUACCAGGGCUUGACAUCCUGCUAACGAAGUAGAGAUACAUUAGGUGCCCUUCGGGGAAAGCAGAGACAGGUGGUGCAUGGUUGUCGUCAGCUCGUGUCGUGAGAUGUUGGGUUAAGUCCCGCAACGAGCGCAACCCCUGUGGUUAGUUGCUACGCAAGAGCACUCUAGCCAGACUGCCGUUGACAAAACGGAGGAAGGUGGGGACGACGUCAAAUCAUCAUGCCCUUUAUGUCCUGGGCUACACACGUACUACAAUGGCGAUUAACAACGAGUCGCGAACCCGCGAGGGGAAGCAAAUCUCCAAAAGUCGCCCCAGUUCAGAUUGCAGGCUGCAACUCGCCUGCAUGAAGCCGGAAUUGCUAGUAAUCGCAGAUCAGAAUGCUGCGGUGAAUACGUUCCCGGGCCUUGUACACACCGCCCGU